CACGUAGGGUGCGAGCGUUGUCCGGAAUUAUUGGGCGUAAAGAGCUCGUAGGCGGUGUGUCGCGUCGGCCGUGAAAACCUGCAGCUUAACUGUGGGCGUGCGGUCGAUACGGGCAUCACUGGAGUUCGGCAGGGGAGACUGGAAUUCCUGGUGGAGCGGUGAAAUGCGCAGAUAUCAGGAGGAACACCCGUAGCGAAGGCGGCACUCUGGGCCGAUACUGACACUGAGGAGCGAAAGCCAGGGGAGCAAACGGG
RNAcentral lists this ribosomal RNA (254 nucleotides) under uncultured bacterium. Its description in RNAcentral is "partial 16S ribosomal RNA". It matches the Rfam family "Bacterial small subunit ribosomal RNA", at positions 524 to 776 of the family's 1533-position model. The record is from RNAcentral.